Molecule: ribosomal RNA, 253 nt
Filed under: uncultured bacterium
Lineage: Bacteria
Description: partial 16S ribosomal RNA
Rfam family: Bacterial small subunit ribosomal RNA
Source: RNAcentral
UACAGAGGGGGCAAGCGUUAUUCGGAAUUAUUGGGCGUAAAGGGCGCGUAGGCGGCUUGGCAAGUGGAUGGUGAAAUCCCUCGGCUUAACCGAGGAACUGCCGUCCAAACUGCUUCGCUUGAGACCGGGAGAGGUGAGUGGAAUUCCCAGUUUAGCGGUGAAAUGCGCAGAUAUCAGGAAGAACACCCGUGGCGAAGGCGGCUCUCUGGGACGGUACUGACGCUGAGACGCGAAAGCGUGGGGAGCGAACAGG